UAGGGAAUCUUCCGCAAUGGACGAAAGUCUGACGGAGCAACGCCGCGUGAGUGAAGAAGGAUUUCGGUUCGUAAAACUCUGUUGUUAGGGAAGAAAAAAUGUAUAGUAACUAUAUACAAAAGAGACGGUACCUAACCAGAAAGCCACGGCUAACUACGUGCCAGCAGCCGCGGUAAUACGUAGGUGGCAAGCGUUGUCCGGAAUUAUUGGGCGUAAAGCGCGCGCAGGUGGUUUAGAAAGUCUGAUGUGAAAGCCCACGGCUCAACCGUGGAGGGUCAUUGGAAACUAAUAAACUUGAGUGCAGGAGAGAAAAGUGGAAUUCCUAGUGUAGCGGUGAAAUGCGUAGAGAUUGGGAGGAACACCGGUGGCGAAAGCGGCUUUUUGGCCUGCAACUGACACUGAGGCGCGAAAGCGUGGGGAGCAAACAGG
RNAcentral lists this ribosomal RNA (429 nucleotides) under Verrucomicrobiota bacterium. Its description in RNAcentral is "Verrucomicrobia bacterium partial 16S ribosomal RNA". It matches the Rfam family "Bacterial small subunit ribosomal RNA", at positions 355 to 776 of the family's 1533-position model. The record is from RNAcentral. Lineage: Bacteria; Pseudomonadati; Verrucomicrobiota.